This 90-nucleotide transfer RNA is filed under the name Anaerobutyricum sp. 25CCBH10. RNAcentral's name for it is "tRNA-Ser". It matches the Rfam family "tRNA". Rfam says of the family: Transfer RNA (tRNA) molecules are approximately 80 nucleotides in length. Their secondary structure includes four short double-helical elements and three loops (D, anti-codon, and T loops). Further hydrogen bonds mediate the characteristic L-shaped molecular structure. tRNAs have two regions of fundamental functional importance: the anti-codon, which is responsible for specific mRNA codon recognition, and the 3' end, to which the tRNAs corresponding amino acid is attached (by aminoacyl-tRNA synthetases). tRNAs cope with the degeneracy of the genetic code in two manners: having more than one tRNA (with a specific anti-codon) for a particular amino acid; and 'wobble' base-pairing, i.e. permitting non-standard base-pairing at the 3rd anti-codon position. Lineage: Bacteria; Bacillati; Bacillota; Clostridia; Lachnospirales; Lachnospiraceae. The record is from RNAcentral. RNAcentral also lists the same sequence under 1 other name.
UGGAGAAGUACUCAAGUGGCUGAAGAGGCGCCCCUGCUAAGGGUGUAGACCGUUCGCGCGGUGCGAGGGUUCAAAUCCCUCCUUCUCCGU